Molecule: ribosomal RNA, 301 nt
Filed under: uncultured bacterium
Lineage: Bacteria
Description: partial 16S ribosomal RNA
Rfam family: Bacterial small subunit ribosomal RNA
Source: RNAcentral
CAGUCGCCGCGGUAAAACGGAGGGUGCAAGCGUUAAUCGGAAUUACUGGGCGUAAAGCGCACGCAGGCGGUCUGUCAAGUCAGAUGUGAAAUCCCCGGGCUUAACCUGGGAACUGCAUUUGAAACUGGCAGGCUAGAGUCUUGUAGAGGGGGGUAGAAUUCCAGGUGUAGCGGUGAAAUGCGUAGAGAUCUGGAGGAAUACCGGUGGCGAAGGCGGCCCCCUGGACAAAGACUGACGCUCAGGUGCGAAAGCGUGGGGAGCAAACAGGAUUAGAUACCCUCGUAGUCCCUGUCUCUUAUAC